RNAcentral lists this ribosomal RNA (670 nucleotides) under uncultured fungus. RNAcentral's name for it is "eukaryotic LSU rRNA". It matches the Rfam family "Eukaryotic large subunit ribosomal RNA", at positions 24 to 664 of the family's 3401-position model. Lineage: Eukaryota; Fungi. The record is from RNAcentral.
CCCGCUGAACUUAAGCAUAUCAAUAAGCGGAGGAAAAGAAACUAACAAGGAUUCCCUUAGUAACUGCGAGUGAAGUGGGAAAAGCUCAAAUUUAGAAUCUGGCAGUCACUUGGCUGUCCGAGUUGUAAUCUAGAGAAGUGUUGCCCGUGCUGGACCAUGUACAAGUCUCCUGGAAUGGAGCAUCACAGAGGGUGAGAAUCCUGUCUUUGACAUGGACUGCCAGUGCUUUUGUGGUAUGCUCUCAAAGAGUCGAGUUGUUUGGGAAUGCAGCUCAAAAUGGGUGGUAAAUGCCAUCUAAAGCUAAAUAUUGGCGAGAGACCGAUAGCGAACAAGUACCGUGAGGGAAAGAUGAAAAGCACUUUGGAAAGAGAGUGAAACAGUACGUGAAAUUGUUGAAAGGGAAACGCUUGAAGUCAGUCGCGUCGACCGAGACUCAGCCUCGCCUUGGCUUGGUGUACUUCUCGGCUGACGGGUCAGCAUCAAUUUCGAUCCUUGGAUAAUGGCAAGGGAAAGGUAGCACCUUUACAGGUGUGUUAUAGUCCUUUGUCGGAUGCAAGGGUUGGGAUUGAGGAACUCAGCACGCACCUCAUCGGUGUCGGGGCCUUUUGGCCUACGUUACGUGCUUAGGAUGCUGGCAUAAUGGCUUUAAACGACCCGUCUUGAAACACGG